This is a non-coding RNA of Felis catus (domestic cat), 85 nucleotides long. Lineage: Eukaryota; Metazoa; Chordata; Mammalia; Carnivora; Felidae. The record is from Rfam.
GCCUUGGUGGCUCAGUCGGGUAAGCAUCUGACUUUGGCUCAGGUCAUUAUCUCACAGUUUGUGGGUUCAAGCCCCAUGUCAGGCU